UACGUAGGGUGCAAGCGUUAUCCGGGAUUAUUGGGCGUAAAGAGCUCGUAGGCGGUUUGUCGCGUCUGCUGUGAAAACUGGAGGCUCAACCUCCAGCCUGCAGUGGGUACGGGCAGACUAGAGUGCGGUAGGGGAGAUUGGAAUUCCUGGUGUAGCGGUGAAAUGCGCAGAUAUCAGGAGGAACACCGAUGGCGAAGGCAGGUCUCUGGGCCACUACUGACGCUGAGAAGCGAAAGCAUGGGGAGCGAACAGG
RNAcentral lists this ribosomal RNA (253 nucleotides) under uncultured bacterium. RNAcentral's name for it is "partial 16S ribosomal RNA". It matches the Rfam family "Bacterial small subunit ribosomal RNA", at positions 524 to 776 of the family's 1533-position model. The record is from RNAcentral.